This 390-nucleotide long non-coding RNA is filed under the name Danio rerio (zebrafish). RNAcentral's name for it is "lncRNA (ENSDARG00000117512.1)". Lineage: Eukaryota; Metazoa; Chordata; Actinopteri; Cypriniformes; Danionidae. The record is from RNAcentral.
GCUUUUGACUUCACGACAUUAGUUUUCCUCUUGUGGUGUGAUUAUAAAGCCUGUUUGUUAUCGGCCAUAGAAAUCAGAUUGCAUUAUUUUCUGGCUGAGAUCUUGUGUAUUUCAGAAAUUGCAGGAGUCCUGGGUGACCUCUCUGAUUCCAGCUGUUGUUCAGAUAUUGCAGAAGACCUGGACGACGUCUCUGAUUCCAGCUCUUGUUCAGAACAAGAAGACGGUGAGAAAUCUGAAGCGGUGUCUGAGGAGUCUCCGACCAAAAAAGGAGUCAAAGGGGUACCAAGAUCUGAUCAAUCAAGUGAUCCUGCACAGGUCCCUGCUAAAGAGAAAGCACGCCGUCGAAAGGAUGCAAAAAAGAGACGUCCAGGUAUAUAUUGCCAAUAAAAA